GAUGAACGCUGGCGGCGUGCCUAAUACAUGCAAGUCGAGCGAACGGACGAGAAGCUUGCUUCUCUGAUGUUAGCGGCGGACGGGUGAGUAACACGUGGAUAACCUACCUAUAAGACUGGGAUAACUUCGGGAAACCGGAGCUAAUACCGGAUAAUAUUUUGAACCGCAUGGUUCAAAAGUGAAAGGCGGUCUUGCUGUCACUUAUAGAUGGAUCCGCGCUGCAUUAGCUAGUUGGUAAGGUAACGGCUUACCAAGGCAACGAUGCAUAGCCGACCUGAGAGGGUGAUCGGCCACACUGGAUCUGAGACACGGUCCAGACUCCUACGGGAGGCAGCAGUAGGGAAUCUUCCGCAAUGGGCGAAAGCCUGACGGAGCAACGCCGCGUGAGUGAUGAAGGUCUUCGGAUCGUAAAACUCUGUUAUUAGGGAAGAACAUAUGUGUAAGUAACUGUGCACAUCUUGACGGUACCUAAUCAGAAAGCCACGGCUAACUACGUG
Molecule: ribosomal RNA, 497 nt
Filed under: uncultured bacterium
Lineage: Bacteria
Description: partial 16S ribosomal RNA
Rfam family: Bacterial small subunit ribosomal RNA
Source: RNAcentral